Molecule: ribosomal RNA, 490 nt
Filed under: uncultured bacterium
Lineage: Bacteria
Description: partial 16S ribosomal RNA
Rfam family: Bacterial small subunit ribosomal RNA
Source: RNAcentral
AUUGAACGCUGGCGGCAGGCCUAACACAUGCAAGUCGAACGGUAACAGGAAGACGCUUGCUUCUUUGCUGACGAGUGGCGGACGGGUGAGUAAUGUCUGGGAAACUGCCUGAUGGAGGGGGAUAACUACUGGAAACGGUAGCUAAUACCGCAUAACGUCGCAAGACCAAAGAGGGGGACCUUCGGGCCUCUUGCCAUCGGAUGUGCCCAGAUGGGAUUAGCUAGUAGGUGGGGUAACGGCUCACCUAGGCGACGAUCCCUAGCUGGUCUGAGAGGAUGACCAGCCACACUGGAACUGAGACACGGUCCAGACUCCUACGGGAGGCAGCAGUGGGGAAUAUUGCACAGUGGGCGCAAGCCUGAUGCAGCCAUGCCGCGUGUAUGAAGAAGGCCUUCGGGUUGUAAAGUACUUUCAGCGGGGAGGAAGGGAGUAAAGUUAAUACCUUUACUCAUUGACGUUACCCGCAGAAGAAGCACCGGCUAACUCCGUG